Molecule: small nuclear RNA, 106 nt
Organism: Suncus etruscus (white-toothed pygmy shrew)
Lineage: Eukaryota; Metazoa; Chordata; Mammalia; Eulipotyphla; Soricidae
Source: RefSeq, a predicted model, not a curated record
GAGCUCACUUUGACAACACAUAUAUUAAAAUUAAAAUGAUACAGAGACUAUUAACACACCCCUGCACAAAGAUGACACACAAAUUUGUGAACCAUUCCAUAUUUUU